RNAcentral lists this ribosomal RNA (252 nucleotides) under uncultured bacterium. Its description in RNAcentral is "partial 16S ribosomal RNA". It matches the Rfam family "Bacterial small subunit ribosomal RNA", at positions 524 to 775 of the family's 1533-position model. The record is from RNAcentral.
UACGAGGGGGGCAAGCGUUGUUCGGAUUUAUUGGGCGUAAAGGGUGCGUAGGCGGUUUGGCAAGUCUUAUGUGAAAUCUUCGGGCUCAACCCGAAGCCUGCAUAAGAAACUGCCGGGCUUGAGUAUUGGAGAGGUGAGUGGAAUUUCCGGUGUAGCGGUGAAAUGCGUAGAUAUCAGGAGGAACACCAAUGGCGAAGGCAGCUCGCUGGGACGGUACUGACGCUGAGACGCGAAAGCGUGGGGAGCAAACAG